Non-coding RNA from Trichonephila clavipes, 74 nucleotides. NCBI's taxonomy places the organism in Eukaryota, Metazoa, Arthropoda, Arachnida, Araneae, Nephilidae. The record is from the annotation of a GenBank genome assembly.
GUCCCUGUGGCGCAAUGGAUAGCGCGUUUGACUGCUAAUUCAAAAGUCGUGGGCAUUGUAUGCCACCUGGGAUG